UGGGGAAUAUUGCACAAUGGACGGAAGUCUGAUGCAGCAACGCCGCGUGCGGGAUGACGGCCUUCGGGUUGUAAACCGCUUUUUCUCAUGACGAAGUUUUUUGACGGUAGUGGGGGAAGAAGCACCGGCUAACUACGUGCCAGCAGCCGCGGUGAUACGUAGGGUGCGAGCGUUGUCUGGAAUUAUUGGGCGUAAAGAGCUUGUAGGCGGUUUGUCGCGUCGAUAGUGCAAACUCAGUGCUUAACGCUGAGCCUGCUGUUGAUACGGGCAGACUAGAGGAAGGUAGGGGAGAAUGGAAUUCCCGGUGGAGCGGUGGAAUGCGCAGAUAUCGGGAGGAACACCGGUGGCGAAGGCGGUUCUCUGGGCCUUUCCUGACGCUGAGAAGCGAAAGCGUGGGGAGCGAACAGG
This 408-nucleotide ribosomal RNA is filed under the name Fusobacteriota bacterium. Its description in RNAcentral is "Fusobacteria bacterium partial 16S ribosomal RNA". It matches the Rfam family "Bacterial small subunit ribosomal RNA", at positions 355 to 776 of the family's 1533-position model. The record is from RNAcentral. Lineage: Bacteria; Fusobacteriati; Fusobacteriota.